Molecule: non-coding RNA, 29 nt
Filed under: Mus musculus (house mouse)
Lineage: Eukaryota; Metazoa; Chordata; Mammalia; Rodentia; Muridae
Source: RNAcentral
UGAGUUCAAAUCCCAGCAACCACAUGAUG